UGAGGAACAUGACCUCCGGCGGGGGAUAGCCGGCCCAACGGCCGGGUAAUACCGCGUACGACCACAUGGGAACAUCCCCGAGUGGUGAAAGCAGCAAUGCGCCGAUGGAGUGCCUCGCGGCCUAUCAGCUAGUUGGUGAGGUAACGGCUCACCAAGGCGACGACGGGUAGCCGGCCUGAGAGGGUGACCGGCCACACUGGGACUGAGACACGGCCCAGACUCCUACGGGAGCAGCAGG
RNAcentral lists this ribosomal RNA (238 nucleotides) under uncultured bacterium. RNAcentral describes it as "partial 16S ribosomal RNA". It matches the Rfam family "Bacterial small subunit ribosomal RNA", at positions 118 to 354 of the family's 1533-position model. The record is from RNAcentral.